UAUCUUUAAAUAUCACCUUUU
RNAcentral lists this non-coding RNA (21 nucleotides) under Caenorhabditis elegans. The record is from RNAcentral. Lineage: Eukaryota; Metazoa; Nematoda; Chromadorea; Rhabditida; Rhabditidae.